UCCCACCCCCAAUUUUUUAUUAUAUUUUUUUGCAUUUUUAUUUCUUAUUUUUGGAAGAAAAUGUAAUAAAUGACCACACCCCCGCACUAUACACCCCUAUCCACCCCACCCCUCCAUCUUUUUUUAUUGAAUAAUUGAGAUAGGUCCCUUCACCUUUAAAAAGAAAAAUAGAUGAGCGGUCUGCACCCGCAAGGCGGUGCUCUUGUUUUAUGUAUGAUCACCAAUUGAUAUUGGUAAAAUUAUAAAACCAUUGUUACGUAUUUCAUUGGUUAUUUGGUCAAUUAAUAAGUGUUGUCAAUGGCCAAAUGGAAGCACUUUUAAUUUUACUCUCAAGAGGACUGAGUUCAAAUCUUGGCAAAGGCAUUUUUAAUGUAUAUUAUAACUACAUGAUAUAGUUUUUGUAAGUAAAUACAUUUGAUGAUGUGUUAAAAUAUACGAAAAUUCCGUGAACAGCCACUUUCAAUAUAUGUGUGUAUCAAACAAGUGGGUUGUAAAAUGUACAUUUUAUGAGGUGUUCUUUUGACUUUUUGUUUAUUUUUUAUUCUUGGGCAAAACUGUUUUUUGUGCGCUGCUUAUAAAUGGAAAAACAUUA
Long non-coding RNA from Dreissena polymorpha, 592 nucleotides. RefSeq lists it as uncharacterized. The record is from RefSeq and is a predicted model, not a curated record. NCBI's taxonomy places the organism in Eukaryota, Metazoa, Mollusca, Bivalvia, Myida, Dreissenidae. The transcript has 2 exons.